UAGGAUUAGAUACCCUAUUAUUUAUAAUGUUAAUAUUUUAAUUAAAUUAGUAUUAAAUAUGUUCUUGAAAGUUAAAAAAUUUGGCGGUGCUUUAGUCUUUUCAGAGGAACCUGUUCUUUAAUUGAUAGUCCACAAUUGACUUAACUUAUUUUAAUAAGCCUGUAUAUCGUCGUAGUUGAGUAUUCUAGUAGGACUAUAAUAUUCAGUUAAAGUUAUAAUUUUGUAAAUCAGAUCAAGGUGCAGCGUAUAAAUAAGGUUGAAAUGGGUUACAAUAAGUUUACUUAUAUGGAAAAUUAUUUUGUAAUAAGGGUUUGAAGGUGGAUUUGUAAGUAAUUUAAUUUAAUUUGAUUAGAUGAUUUUAGCUCUAAAGUAUGCACAUAUUGCCCGUCGCUUUCAUUUAAAUUGGAAUAAGUCGUAACAAAGUAGAUGUACUGGAAAGUGUGUCUGGAAACAAGUUAGAGCUUGAUUAUAAAGCAUUUUAUUUACAUUAAAAAGUCUAUUGUGAAAUUCAAUUUAAUGAUGUUAUUUAAUUUAUUUUUUUUUUAUUUUUAAAAUAUUGUUAUUUUUAUUAAAGUAAAUAGAAGGAAUUUAUUUAAUUAUAGUUAAUUAGUACAGUGAUGGUUAAUUUUGAAAUUUUUAUAAGAAGUUUUAGUUUAAUGUACCUUGUGUAUCAGGGUUUAUUAAUUAGUAGUAUUUUAUUAUACGGUCUCGAAUAUAUAAGAGUUAAUUGGUUAUUAAUUUUAUUGUUAAAUAAAUAUUUAUAAUAACUAAUUAGUAAUGAAAGGUUAUUCGUUUUUUUGUAUAUCUGGUUUUUUAAGAAAUGUAUUUAAUGCAGGUUAUCAUAGUUAUUUUUUUUUUUAGAAAUUUUUAAUUUAUGGUAGACUAAUAGUUUUGGGGUUGAGCUUAAAAUUAAAAUUUUAUAAAUUAAUUAUUUUUAAUGUUAAAUAGGAUUAGAAAUUUUCUUUUUUUGUAGUUUGUUGUAAUAAGGUUUUUGUUAUUAUUAUUUUUAUUGGUUUUAUAUUUUUUAUUAAGAAAUUUGUUUUAAUAAUUUAAGUUAAUUUAUAAUGAUAGAAUUAGUAUUAUUUAUUGUUGAGAAUUUUAUUUUUGAUAGGUUGAUUAAAAGAAUUCGGCAAAUAUAUUUUUCACCUGUUUAUUAAAAACAUGGCCUUUUGAUAAUGAUUUAAGGUCUGACCUGCCCAAUGAUUAUUCAAUGGCUGCAGUAUUUUGACUGUACAAAGGUAGCGUAAUCAUUAGUUUUUUAAUUGAAAACUUGUAUGAAUGGUUUGAUGAGAAAAUUACUGUUUCUGUUUAAAUUUUAGAGAAUUUUAUUUUUGAGUUAAAAAGCUUAAAUUUUUUUAUAAGACGAGAAGACCCUAUAGAGUUUAAUAAUAAGUUUAUUUAUAAUUAUUAGGGAUGUUAUUUUUUAUAAUUGAUUAUUAUUAUUUGAUUGGGGUGAUUUUAAAAUUUAAUAAACUUUUAGUUUUUUAUAUCACAGAUUAGUGAGUUUUUGAUCCAGUUUUUCUGAUUAAAAGUUUAAAUUACCUUAGGGAUAACAGCGUAAUUUUUUUGGCGAGUUCAUAUUGAUAAAAAAGAUUGCGACCUCGAUGUUGGAUUAAAAUAAACUAUUGGCGCAGUUGCUUAUGGGUUAGGUCUGUUCGACCUUUAAAAUUUUACAUGAUCUGAGUUCAAACCGGAGA
Molecule: ribosomal RNA, 1697 nt
Filed under: Dactylosternum marginale
Lineage: Eukaryota; Metazoa; Arthropoda; Insecta; Coleoptera; Hydrophilidae
Description: partial 16S ribosomal RNA
Source: RNAcentral